GCACAAGCGGUGGAGCAUGUGGUUUAAUUCGACGCAACGCGCAGAACCUUACCAGGGUUUGACAUCCUGAGACCGCCGGUGAAAGCCGGUUUUCCCGCAAGGGACUCAGAGACAGGUGCUGCAUGGCUGUCGUCAGCUCGUGUCGUGAGAUGUUGGGUUAAGUCCCGCAACGAGCGCAACCCUCGCCUUUAGUUGCCAUCAUUAAGUUGGGCACUCUAGAGGGACCGCCGGCGACAAGCCGGAGGAAGGUGGGGAUGACGUCAAGUCCUCAUGGCCCUUACACCCUGGGCUACACACGUGCUACAAUGGCGGUGACAGUGAGCAGCUAGUUCGCGAGAACGUGCUAAUCUCAAAAAACCGUCCCAGUUCAGAUUGCACUCUGCAACUCGAGUGCAUGAAGGUGGAAUCGCUAGUAAUCGCAGAACAGCAGGCUGCGGUGAAUACGUUCCCGGGC
Molecule: ribosomal RNA, 454 nt
Filed under: uncultured bacterium
Lineage: Bacteria
Description: bacterial SSU rRNA
Rfam family: Bacterial small subunit ribosomal RNA
Source: RNAcentral